RNAcentral lists this long non-coding RNA (513 nucleotides) under Homo sapiens (human). RNAcentral's name for it is "non-protein coding lnc-PARP1-5:1". Lineage: Eukaryota; Metazoa; Chordata; Mammalia; Primates; Hominidae. The record is from RNAcentral.
AUUCUCACUUGCUGAGUGCCAUUUAGCCACAGGCACAUCAGCAUAAUCUGUCAGAAAUAUGAAUUGCACCAGUGUAGCUUGAUAACUGCUUAUAAGCCGUCAUGUGGUAUUCAAGUCCUCCCUCAAAAGUUUCCUUGUUGGAAAUUCCUUAAGUGGGAGUUCCCAAAACUCUGGCUUUGGAUUUAGACCAGGAUGACCCCCUUAACCAAAUCUCUUACAAGGUCUUUUUUGCAUUCCCAGAAACUAAUUAAAAGGCAGUGUUUUGUCCAUUAAUGUUCUUGGCCUAGAGAGGAAUCUCUGAAAAAGAACCAGGGGUUACUAAAGAGCUGUUCACACAGAAGUAAGUGUGUUUCCUUUAGCAGGGCUGUGCCUGGGAGAGCUUUGGGGAGAGAAGAUGGCAUUUUAGAUUCUUGAACUUUCUGCAGAAAACUUCGUUUUAGAUUCCUGGCUUUGUAAAUGUCAUCCUCCAGCAUGGGAUGAAGAAGUCUGUUUCCACUUGUGGCCACCUGGCAG